CGCGCAGGCGGCGUGAUAAGUCAGAUGUGAAAGCCCACGGCUUAACCGUGGAAGUGCAUUUGAAACUGUCAUGCUUGAGUACCAGAGGGGAAAGUGGAAUUCCCGGUGUAGAGGUGAAAUUCGUAGAUAUCGGGAGGAAUACCGGUGGCGAAGGCGACUUUCUGGCUGGAUACUGACGCUGAGGCGCGAAAGCGUGGGGAGCAAACA
RNAcentral lists this ribosomal RNA (207 nucleotides) under uncultured bacterium. Its description in RNAcentral is "partial 16S ribosomal RNA". It matches the Rfam family "Bacterial small subunit ribosomal RNA", at positions 568 to 774 of the family's 1533-position model. The record is from RNAcentral.